UAAAAUGGCUGAGCGUCAAGCGGUGGAUUGUAGUCCCAUAUACAGAGGUUAAACUCCUCUUUUUAU
Molecule: transfer RNA, 66 nt
Filed under: Anatolichthys anatoliae anatoliae
Lineage: Eukaryota; Metazoa; Chordata; Actinopteri; Cyprinodontiformes; Aphaniidae
Description: Aphanius anatoliae anatoliae tRNA-Tyr
Rfam family: tRNA
About the family: Transfer RNA (tRNA) molecules are approximately 80 nucleotides in length. Their secondary structure includes four short double-helical elements and three loops (D, anti-codon, and T loops).
Source: RNAcentral